RNAcentral lists this ribosomal RNA (236 nucleotides) under uncultured prokaryote. RNAcentral describes it as "partial 16S ribosomal RNA". It matches the Rfam family "Bacterial small subunit ribosomal RNA", at positions 524 to 759 of the family's 1533-position model. The record is from RNAcentral.
UACGUAGGUGGCAAGCGUUGUCCGGAUUUAUUGGGUUUAAAGGGUGCGUAGGCGGUUCUAUAAGUCAGUGGGGAAAUGCCGCAGCUUAACUGCGGAACUGCCAUUGAUACUGCUUAGCUUGAAUCAGGUCGAGGUGGAUGGAAUAUUACAUGUAGCGGUGAAAUGCUUAGAUAUGUAAUAGAACACCGAUUGCGAAGGCAGUUCACUAGGCCUGAAUUGACACUGAGGCACGAAAG